RNAcentral lists this ribosomal RNA (490 nucleotides) under uncultured bacterium. Its description in RNAcentral is "partial 16S ribosomal RNA". It matches the Rfam family "Bacterial small subunit ribosomal RNA", at positions 28 to 507 of the family's 1533-position model. The record is from RNAcentral.
GAUGAACGCUAGCUACAGGCUUAACACAUGCAAGUCGCGGGGCAGCAUGGGGGUUGCUUGCAAUCCCCGAUGGCGACCGGCGCACGGGUGAGUAACGCGUAUCCAACCUGCCCUUCACCACGGGAUAACCCGGCGAAAGUCGGACUAAUACCGUAUGUUGUCCAUUGACGGCAUCCGAUUUGGACGAAAGGUUUGGCGGUGAAGGAGGGGGAUGCGUCCGAUUAGCUGGACGGCGGGGUGACGGCCCACCGUGGCGACGAUCGGUAGGGGUUCUGAGAGGAAGGUCCCCCACACUGGAACUGAGACACGGUCCAGACUCCUACGGGAGGCAGCAGUGAGGGAUAUUGGUCAAUGGGCGUAAGCCUGAACCAGCCAAGUAGCGUGCAGGAUGACGGCCCUAUGGGUUGUAAACUGCUUUUAUGCGGGGAUAAAGUGGCCCACGUGUGGGUUUUUGCAGGUACCGCAUGAAUAAGGACCGGCUAAUUCCGUG